CCAAUAGCGUAUAUUAAAGUUGUUGCAGUUAAAAAGCUCGUAGUUGAACCUUAGGCCCGUGCGGGCGGUCCGUCCUCAGGGCGAGCACUACUUCGUCGCGGGUCUCACCUUCUGGCGAGCGUAGAUGCCAUUUAUUUGGUGUCUGCGGGAACCAGGACCUUUACCUUGAAAAAAUUAGAGUGCUCAAAGCGGGCUCCGACGCUUGAAUACAUUAGCAUGGAAUAAUGAAAUAGGACGAUGGUUCUAUUUUGUUGGUUUCCGGGACCGUCGUAAUGAUUAAUAGGGAUAGUUGGGGGCAUUCGUAUUCAAUUGUCAGAGGUGAAAUUCUUGGAUUUAUUGAAGACGAACUACUGCGAAAGCAUUUGCCAAGGAUGUUUUCAUUAAUCAAGAACGAAAGUUGGGGGAUCGAAGACGAUCAGAUACCGUCGUAGUCUCAACCAUAAACUAUGCCGACUGGGAAUCGGGCGAUGUUACUUUUCUGACUCGCUCGGCGCCCCGAG
RNAcentral lists this ribosomal RNA (500 nucleotides) under uncultured Glomeromycotina. RNAcentral describes it as "partial small subunit ribosomal RNA". It matches the Rfam family "Eukaryotic small subunit ribosomal RNA", at positions 591 to 1092 of the family's 1831-position model. The record is from RNAcentral. Lineage: Eukaryota; Fungi; Glomeromycota.